GAUGAACGCUGGCGGCGUGCUUAACACAUGCAAGUCGAACGAUGAAGCUCAGCUUGCUGGGUGGAUUAGUGGCGAACGGGUGAGUAACACGUGAGUAACCUGCCCUUAACUCUGGGAUAAGCCUGGGAAACUAGGUCUAAUACCGGAUAGGAGCGUCCACCGCAUGGUGGGUGUUGGAAAGAUUUAUCGGUUUUGGAUGGACUCGCGGCCUAUCAGCUUGUUGGUGAGGUAAUGGCUCACCAAGGCGACGACGGGUAGCCGGCCUGAGAGGGUGACCGGCCACACUGGGACUGUGACACGGCCCAGACUCCUACGGGAGGCAGCAGUGGGGAAUAUUGCACAAUGGGCGAAAGCCUGAUGCAGCGACGCCGCGUGAGGGAUGACGGCCUUCGGGUUGUAAACCUCUUUCAGUAGGGAAGAAGCGAAAGUGACGGUACCUGCAGAAGAAGCACCGGCUAACUACGUG
RNAcentral lists this ribosomal RNA (466 nucleotides) under uncultured bacterium. RNAcentral's name for it is "partial 16S ribosomal RNA". It matches the Rfam family "Bacterial small subunit ribosomal RNA", at positions 28 to 507 of the family's 1533-position model. The record is from RNAcentral.